GGAUGUGAGGGCAAUCUGACUGCAACAGCUGUCACCCCAUUGAUUGCCAGGUUGAUUCGGCAGAUCUGGCUGGCCAGGCAGGUGUCCCUUCCCUCCCUCACCACUCUGUGUGUGUCCCUCCCGAAGCUGCGCUCUUGGUAGCAGAGGGUAGAGGAGGACUCUUUCCUCAGUCAAGAGUAUAUGAGUAGCUACACUCCCCUGCUAGAACCUCCAAAAAAGCUCUCAAGAAUAGAGCAGAAAGCAAUCUUGAUCACUCGUACUGAAAUGAUUCAAUAGGACUGCCAUCAAAGAACAUCUUAUU
Molecule: small nuclear RNA, 301 nt
Filed under: Chinchilla lanigera (long-tailed chinchilla)
Lineage: Eukaryota; Metazoa; Chordata; Mammalia; Rodentia; Chinchillidae
Description: 7SK RNA (ENSCLAG00000021776.1)
Rfam family: 7SK RNA
About the family: 7SK was discovered as an abundant small nuclear RNA in the mid-70s but a possible function has only recently been suggested. Two independent studies have found that 7SK RNA binds the CDK9/cyclin T complex (known as elongation factor P-TEFb).
Source: Rfam by way of RNAcentral